UAGGGAAUCUUCGGCAAUGGGGGCAACCCUGACCGAGCAACGCCGCGUGAGUGAAGAAGGUUUUCGGAUCGUAAAGCUCUGUUGUAAGAGAAGAACGUGUGUGAGAGUGGAAAGUUCACACAGUGACGGUAACUUACCAGAAAGGGACGGCUAACUACGUGCCAGCAGCCGCGGUAAUACGUAGGUCCCGAGCGUUGUCCGGAUUUAUUGGGCGUAAAGCGAGCGCAGGCGUUUUAAUAAGUCUGAAGUUAAAGGCAGUGGCUUAACCAUUGUUCGCUUUGGAAACUGUUAAACUUGAGUGCAGAAGGGGAGAGUGCAAUUCCAUGUGUAGCGGUGAAAUGCGUAGAUAUAUGGAGGAACACCGGUGGCGAAAGCGACUCUCUGGUCUGUAACUGACGCUGAGGCUCGAAAGCGUGGGGAGCAAACAGG
RNAcentral lists this ribosomal RNA (429 nucleotides) under bacterium. RNAcentral describes it as "partial 16S ribosomal RNA". It matches the Rfam family "Bacterial small subunit ribosomal RNA", at positions 355 to 776 of the family's 1533-position model. The record is from RNAcentral.